GACGAACGCUGGCGGCGUGCUUAACACAUGCAAGUCGAACGGAAAGGCCCUGCUUUUGUGGGGUGCUCGAGUGGCGAACGGGUGAGUAACACGUGAGUAACCUGCCCUUGACUUUGGGAUAACUUCAGGAAACUGGGGCUAAUACCGGAUAGGAGCUCCUGCUGCAUGGUGGGGGUUGGAAAGUUUCGGCGGUUGGGGAUGGACUCGCGGCUUAUCAGCUUGUUGGUGGGGUAGUGGCUUACCAAGGCUUUGACGGGUAGCCGGCCUGAGAGGGUGACCGGCCACAUUGUGACUUAGAUACGGCCCAGACUCCUACGGGAGGCAGCAGUGGGGAAUAUUGCACAAUGGGCGGAAGCCUAAUGCAGCAACGCCGCGUGCGGGAUGACGGCCUUCGGGUUGUAAACCGCUUUCGCCUGUGACGAAGCGUGAGUGACGGUAAUGGGUAAAGAAGCACCGGCUAACUACGUG
This 468-nucleotide ribosomal RNA is filed under the name uncultured bacterium. Its description in RNAcentral is "partial 16S ribosomal RNA". It matches the Rfam family "Bacterial small subunit ribosomal RNA", at positions 28 to 507 of the family's 1533-position model. The record is from RNAcentral.